AUAUCAAUAAGCGGAGGAAAAGAAACCAACAGGGAUUGUCUUAGUAACGGCGAGUGAAGCGACAAAAGCUCAAAUUUGAAAUCUGGCGCCUUCGGUGUCCGAGUUGUAAUUUGAAGAAGGUAACUUUGGUUUUGGCUCUUGUCUAUGUUCCUUGGAACAGGACGUCACAGAGGGUGAGAAUCCCGUGCGAUGAGAUGCCCAAUUCCAUGUAAAGUGCUUUCGAAGAGUCGAGUUGUUUGGGAAUGCAGCUCUAAGUGGGUGGUAAAUUCCAUCUAAAGCUAAAUAUUGGCGAGAGACCGAUAGCGAACAAGUACAGUGAUGGAAAGAUGAAAAGAACUUUGAAAAGAGAGUGAAAAAGUACGUGAAAUUGUUGAAAGGGAAGGGUUUGAGAUCAGACUUGGUAUUUUGUAUGUUUUACUCUCGGGUGAGGCCUCUGCAGUUUACUGGGCCAGCAUCAGUUUGGAUG
RNAcentral lists this ribosomal RNA (466 nucleotides) under Scheffersomyces coipomensis. RNAcentral's name for it is "eukaryotic LSU rRNA". It matches the Rfam family "Eukaryotic large subunit ribosomal RNA", at positions 40 to 502 of the family's 3401-position model. Lineage: Eukaryota; Fungi; Ascomycota; Pichiomycetes; Serinales; Debaryomycetaceae. The record is from RNAcentral.